RNAcentral lists this ribosomal RNA (253 nucleotides) under uncultured bacterium. Its description in RNAcentral is "partial 16S ribosomal RNA". It matches the Rfam family "Bacterial small subunit ribosomal RNA", at positions 524 to 776 of the family's 1533-position model. The record is from RNAcentral.
UACGCAGGGGGCUAGCGUUGCUCGGAAUCACUGGGCGUAAAGCGCACGUAGGCGGGUCCUUACGUCGGGGGUGAAAUCCUGGAGCUCAACUCCAGAACUGCCUUCGAUACUGAGGAUCUCGAGUCCGGGAGAGGUGAGUGGAACUCCGAGUGUAGAGGUGAAAUUCGUAGAUAUUCGGAAGAACACCAGUGGCGAAGGCGGCUCACUGGCCCGGUACUGACGCUGAGGUGCGAAAGCGUGGGGAGCAAACGGG